This 28-nucleotide non-coding RNA is filed under the name Arabidopsis thaliana (thale cress). Lineage: Eukaryota; Viridiplantae; Streptophyta; Magnoliopsida; Brassicales; Brassicaceae. RNAcentral also lists the same sequence under 1 other name. The record is from RNAcentral.
UUGAAGGCCGAAGAGGGGAAAGGUUCCA